Long non-coding RNA from Lytechinus pictus (painted urchin), 1020 nucleotides. RefSeq lists it as uncharacterized. The record is from RefSeq and is a predicted model, not a curated record. The transcript is spliced from 4 exons. NCBI's taxonomy places the organism in Eukaryota, Metazoa, Echinodermata, Echinoidea, Temnopleuroida, Toxopneustidae.
GUACGUAAUUUGCGAAGCCAUAGAAUUUAAAUUGGUUCCGCAUCCGUUCGUGAGAGCUCGAUUGCAAGAAUGAGAUUGGAUCAGCUUGCAGGAGGGAAGAAGAUUUGAUUGAGCUGCUGACAAUUGGAAUAAAACACCUUAACUGAGGAGGAGAGUGAAAGCGGAGAUAGUCAAACUUAUUCUCAUAGUUGUCAGACAGAAGACACCAAAAUGCCUCGUGGGGUUGCAGUGCGUGUGACUACUAUGGAUGCAGAACUGGAGUUUGCCAUCCAGCCCAACACGACAGGCAAACAACUUUUCGAUCAAGUUGUGAAAACAAUAGGUCUGAGGGAGAUCUGGUUCUUUGGUUUGCAGUACAUUGAUUCAAAAGGACUUGUAACAUGGCUAAAACUCAACAAAAAGGUAGGCAUCGUAAUGUUUAACUCUUUGCACGCUGAAUUAAUUUUGGGGGGUACUAAUGUUAUUUUCUUUAAUACAAGAUUUCCAUAUUACACCAUUGCUACUUCUUAUUAUUAUAUACAUGUAGAUGUUAUUCAAGAACUAAAUUGCUUUUCAUUAGCUUGUCUAAUUUGAAGUUAGGGGAGAAAACUAAUUAUGAUUGGUGAAUUUUAUUGUACGAAUGUGCAAGAUUGCAACUUCAGCGCGCAAAGGGUUAAUAAUGCAACUACCCUGCACUUACAUGUAUGCACAUGCUGAAUAUUUUCUGAGUUUUAAUAGGAGACUCAAAGGUAUGUCCUGGGAUGUCAAUUACAAAGACAUUCUGUAGGAGACUGCAAAAUUCUACUAUUCUACAACACUUCAAAUGUAUUCACAAAGAUGAGGAUGGCAUGCAAUAUGCUGUACUCUCAUUUAACAUAAAGAAGUUUGACCUUUAACCCAUGUUGUAUUGCAGUAUUUGCUAGAUACACAAAGAUGCCCACAGUUUUCACACAGUUAUUUUGUACUGUUUUAAAGUUCUGUAGGUUUCAUGAAGAAUACUCCCAUUCUAAAAGAAUACUCAUUCCAACAAGGCCCUCCCUC